This 1331-nucleotide long non-coding RNA is filed under the name Dromaius novaehollandiae (emu). Its description in RNAcentral is "lncRNA (ENSDNVG00000008007.1)". The record is from RNAcentral. Lineage: Eukaryota; Metazoa; Chordata; Aves; Casuariiformes; Dromaiidae.
CACGGCCACGAGGCCGUUCCCAUGGGCCGUCCUCUUCUCCACCCCCAGCACCCCCGUAUAAAGCCCCUGUCCUUGGAUGCUGCMGAGGCAGCCUGGGCCRGGAARAGGAGGAGGAGGAGGUGGAGGAGGAGGAGGAAGAGGAGGAGGCGGAGGCAGAGGCAGGCAUAGAGAGCAGCAUGAAGCAGGUUGUGGUUGAAGAGCCACUGGACGCCGAGAUGCGCUGCUGCAAGCCCGGCUGCUGCUGCCUGCCCGGCUGCACCGCCUGCUGCCCCAAGUGCCUGCGGCGGUGCGGCGGCUGCGGCUGCCACGGCUGCCACGGCUGCGGCGGCUGCCUCAAGCGCAGCCUCUGCUUCGUGCCUCGCCUGCUCUGCUACCUGCCCCGCAAGCUCCUCAGCUGCCACCACCUCAAGUGCCUCCUCAUCGUGGUGGUGGUGGUGGUGCUGCUGGUGGUCAUCAUCGCGGGCGCCCUGCUGAUGUGGCUGCACGCGGCCCGGCAGCGCGCCGACGCCGUGACCGUGCAGGGGCUGGAGAGGGGAGCGGUCUGGCCGUGGCUUCCCGCCGGCGGGGAAGAGGAGGCAGYGACUUUCUACGUAGACGGAGGAGCCGGAAGCCCAGCCACGGUCCUCUACGACUACAAGAACCUGCUGAUCGGCUACAGAUCCUGGCUGCACCAAGGCUGCUACGUCACCCGCAUGGACGAGGACAACAUCCAGGGGCUGGACGCCGUCACCGCGGCCUUCCGGCAGCGGCAGGCUGAGGAGAGGCCCCCCGUGCCCCUGGCCGAUCGCUCCCUCCUGAGCACCGCAGCCAACGUCCUCUGCAGCGUCGUCCCCGUCUACUGGGCCUAGCCCGGCUGGCAUCCCCAGAGGACCCAGCCCCAUCGGCAGCGUCGCCUCGGAGUCGUGCCCGCAGCAGUGCCAACGUCUCCCGGCAGCAAUGCCCUGGCGCGCCGCGCUCUGCAGCUGAGCGGGGGCCCACGGGCUCGGYGGGGGCSCGGGGGGGGCGCGGGGGGGCUCRGCGACCCUGCAAGGCCCCACUGCGGAUCCCUGCUGCGAACGCGCUUCUCUGGCGACGGCGGAGGUGGUGGGCGUUUGCUUGGGCGACCGUUUCGCGCUGCUGACGCCGAGCUGCAGGCUGUGCCAGGGGACAGCUGGUUUGUCACUUAGUCUUCUCAGCUUUGCCAAAACCAAGUGCAAAAAUAAGCUUAACAAAAAAAAGACAUUUAAAGAAACAAGAUUCUCUGUUCUAGUUCUUUACUCCCUGCUUGCCCAACUUCUGGCAAUUUAGGGCUUCUUUUGCCUUGAAAGUGUAUCUAAGGGCUCUUAGCAUCA